GCCAGCCUGCUGCUCCAUUCCCUUCUUUUCCUUUCUUUUUCCUUUUCUCUGAAAGUCUACAAUGCCUCCCUCGGCACUGUUCAUCUUCAACCUCAGGCCAGCCAAUUGUGUCCGAGCUGCUGCCGCCUCCCUUUGAAUCCGCCUCCAUCAGUUGCUCCCGAGACCGACUGGAUGAGGGGAAUUUAUCUCCUCGAUGUUCUCUAUCUUUACCCUUAAAAACCGGAGCUUAAUUCCUUGUAUUUCAACCGAAUCAAACUCGUUUAGAGUUUAUCUCUCCAACCAAACCAUCGGAUUUUCCGGUUUCGAUUCCUUUCGUUCCGAGUUCGAUCUCCUUAAUCCGAGCCUAUAAAUAGCAUCCUCUAGUCGCCCUCUUCGGUUUGCCUCGUGUUCUAGUUGCAGCCGUCGCUCGUAGCGCCGCCGCCGUAGCCGCUUCAGCCGCCUCGCGCCGUCGCCGUGGUGGUCGUCGCCGGUCGCCGUCGCUUUCACCGGGUUCGCGAGGAGAAGCCGCAGACCGUCAAUCCCUUCAUCGGCGUUGCAACCCGCCGGAAAGCCGUCGUCGCCGUCAACCCGAAGCCGCCGCUUUUGGAAGCUCGUCGCCGGCCGUUUUCUGUCGUCGAUUGUCGUCGCCGUCACCACCGUUUCCGAUGUUCCCGAGGAGAGCGUUUACAUUGAGUAAGGUUCAGAAGUGUUUAAAGAAGCUCAAGGCAAGUCAUACAGAUCCCAAACAACCCUUUGAGCAUGUUGAACCCGUUUAAAGCUAAUGUUUUAUUUCAACUUAUGCAUUAUUUUCGAA
Oryza sativa Japonica Group (Japanese rice) is the source of this 793-nucleotide non-coding RNA. NCBI's taxonomy places the organism in Eukaryota, Viridiplantae, Streptophyta, Magnoliopsida, Poales, Poaceae. The record is from RefSeq and is a predicted model, not a curated record.